RNAcentral lists this long non-coding RNA (272 nucleotides) under Lathyrus oleraceus (garden pea). Its description in RNAcentral is "Pisum sativum (pea) long non-coding RNA (PSAT_LNC011994)". Lineage: Eukaryota; Viridiplantae; Streptophyta; Magnoliopsida; Fabales; Fabaceae. The record is from RNAcentral.
AUCUUUGCUUCAUGGUAUCUCUUGCCCCCCAUCAGAUUGAAUGUUCUCCAGCGGGCCUAACUUUCUCUCUUGAGAUGUAGUACCAGAUAUGUAUUCAUGGAUCUUUGGACCUGUUUUAGAUAUGUCUGUUUUGUUAGCAUUCAUCAUACAUAAACCACGCAUACAUGCAUAAUUUUAACAUUCAGAUAUUCAUGUUGCAUUCUUUGCCAUAUAUAUCUUUGCUUAUCAUCUCCUGCUAGUUGGUAAUAUAUUUCCCCAAGCAGAGGUUUGUG